This 844-nucleotide ribosomal RNA is filed under the name uncultured bacterium. Its description in RNAcentral is "bacterial SSU rRNA". It matches the Rfam family "Bacterial small subunit ribosomal RNA", at positions 78 to 940 of the family's 1533-position model. The record is from RNAcentral.
GCUUGCUCUUCUGAUCAGUGGCGAACGGGUGAGUAACACGUGAGCAACCUACCCUUGAAACUGGGAUAACAGUUGGAAACAGCUGCUAAUACCGGAUACGAACCUCUCAGGCAUCUGAGAGGUUGGAAAGCUCCGACGGUCAAGGAUGGGCUCGCGGCCUAUCAGCUUGUUGGUGAGGUAACGGCUCACCAAGGCGACGACGGGUAGCCGGCCUGAGAGGGCGACCGGCCACACUGGGACUGAGAUACGGCCCAGACUCCUACGGGAGGCAGCAGUGGGGAAUAUUGCGCAAUGGGCGAAAGCCUGACGCAGCAACGCCGCGUGCGGGACGACGGCCUUCGGGUUGUAAACCGCUUUCAGCAGGGACGAAACUGACGGUACCUGCAGAAGAAGCACCGGCUAACUACGUGCCAGCAGCCGCGGUGAUACGUAGGGUGCGAGCGUUGUCCGGGAUUAUUGGGCGUAAAGAGCUCGUAGGCGGUCUGUCACGUCGGAAGUGAAAACUCGGGGCUCAACCCCGAGCCUGCUUUCGAUACGGGCAGACUUGAGGAAUGUAGGGGAGAACGGAAUUCCUGGUGGAGCGGUGGAAUGCGCAGAUAUCAGGAGGAACACCAGUGGCGAAGGCGGUUCUCUGGACAUUAACUGACGCUGAGGAGCGAAAGCGUGGGGAGCAAACAGGCUUAGAUACCCUGGUAGUCCACGCCGUAAACGGUGGGCACUAGGUGUGGGGGACUUCCACGUUCUCCGUGCCGUAGCUAACGCAUUAAGUGCCCCGCCUGGGGAGUACGGCCGCAAGGCUAAAACUCAAAGGAAUUGACGGGGGCCCGCACAAGCGGCGGAGCAU